CAUGCAAGUCGAACGGCAGCACGGGAGCAAUCCUGGUGGCGAGUGGCGAACGGGUGAGUAAUACAUCGGAACGUGCCCAAUCGUGGGGGAUAACGCAGCGAAAGCUGUGCUAAUACCGCAUAAGAUCUAAGGAUGAAAGCAGGGGACCGCAAGGCCUUGCGCGAAUGGAGCGGCCGAUGGCAGAUUAGGUAGUUGGUGGGGUAAAGGCCUACCAAGGCGACGAUCCAUAGCUGGUCUGAGAGGAUGAUCAGCCACAUUGGGACUGAGACACGGCCCAAACUCCUACGGGAGGUAGCAGUGGGGAAUAUUGGACAAUGGGCGCAAGCCUGAUCCAGCCAUGCCGCGUGAGUGAUGAAGGCCCUAGGGUUGUAAAGCUCUUUCACCGGUGAAGAUAAUGACGGUAACCGGAGAAGAAGCCCCGGCUAACUUCGUGCCAGCAGCCGCGGUAAUACGAAGGGGGCUAGCGUUGUUCGGAAUUACUGGGCGUAAAGCGCACGUAGGCGGAUAUUUAAGUCAGGGGUGAAAUCCCAGAGCUCAACUCUGGAACUGCCUUUGAUACUGGGUAUCUCGAGUAUGGAAGAGGUGAGUGGAAUUCCGAGUGUAGAGGUGAAAUUCGUAGAUAUUCGGAGGAACACCAGUGGCGAAAGCGGCUCACUGGUCCAUUACUGACGCUGA
RNAcentral lists this ribosomal RNA (675 nucleotides) under uncultured bacterium. Its description in RNAcentral is "bacterial SSU rRNA". It matches the Rfam family "Bacterial small subunit ribosomal RNA", at positions 54 to 749 of the family's 1533-position model. The record is from RNAcentral.